UUUUCUCAAUAUUAAAACCAAACUCAUGCCCUUGAUCGAUUGGCCUUUGUAAUAAUAGAUUGAGUGACCUGUUUUUUUUUGCAUUUCUCAUUGGGGGUCUUCUUAUGUUUACUCCUUCAAGCAUCCUGCCGUCCCAACUUCUAUCCCUUUCUCGAGUCUUCUUACUUGUUCUACUGUGCAUUGGUGACAAAUCACCUUUUCUUGACGCGACUGCCCGACAUUGAUUUAAUAUAUCCUCUUCCUCCCCUUAUUCAUAUAUAUGUCUUUCUGCCCUCGUAUCGAGUAGAUUAUGGGAAGGUUUCAUCAUUGCAUCCGACAUUUUCGUCUCCUCCAAAGUAGUUAUUGCUUUUAUUUGAACAAUCUGAUUUGCUGCAGAUGUUGGCGUUGCUGUUGCGAUGUGCACCGCAGCUGUUGUUUCACAUGAUUUAGAAGUAUUUCGUGGAAUAAACACUGUAGCAUUAUGAUUCAGAUUGCUGUUUGAGUUUGCUACAGUUUUCUUACAUGCAGGACCCCCGAUUGUCACUAUUUUGCUUUGAAAUUUUGGCUUGUAUUGAGCAUCAAUGUCCUCUCCUUCACUAUCGUCGUCAAACUCUUGCUCGUCUUCUGAAGAUGAAUAACCAGCAAGUCCUUCUCCCCAGCCCUCGUCAUCGUCAAAUUCUCUUUGGUCUUUCCACAAAUUUUAUUUAAUGACCAUGUCCCUCAUGUUAACAAAAACUGGUUUGAUAUGUCCAGAGGAAUUUGAUGGUUUUCCAUGAUCUUUUAAAGUUGUCUCGACAUGUGAAUUGGAGGAAGAUAUGAUUGGAGAAAACUGCACAUUGGCCAUCUGCCUAUUCUGUUCAGUGAAGAUUGCAUCUUCAUUA
Molecule: long non-coding RNA, 860 nt
Filed under: Nicotiana benthamiana
Lineage: Eukaryota; Viridiplantae; Streptophyta; Magnoliopsida; Solanales; Solanaceae
Description: long non-coding RNA (NBEN_LNC019035)
Source: RNAcentral